This 72-nucleotide transfer RNA is filed under the name Bacteroidales bacterium. Its description in RNAcentral is "tRNA-Gly". It matches the Rfam family "tRNA". Rfam says of the family: Transfer RNA (tRNA) molecules are approximately 80 nucleotides in length. Their secondary structure includes four short double-helical elements and three loops (D, anti-codon, and T loops). Lineage: Bacteria; Pseudomonadati; Bacteroidota; Bacteroidia; Bacteroidales. The record is from RNAcentral.
GCGGGUGUAGCUCAGCGGUAGAGCGUCAGUUUCCCAAACUGAAGGUGGCGGGUUCGACACCCGUUACCCGCU